RNAcentral lists this unclassified non-coding RNA (341 nucleotides) under soil metagenome. Its description in RNAcentral is "partial contains 5.8S ribosomal RNA, internal transcribed spacer 2, and large subunit ribosomal RNA". The stretch from base 1 to 120 matches the Rfam family "5.8S ribosomal RNA", at positions 35 to 154 of the family's 154-position model. The record is from RNAcentral.
GAUGAAGAACGUAGCGAAAUGCGAUAAGUAGUGUGAAUUGCAGAAUUCAGUGAAUCAUCGAAUCUUUGAACGCACAUUGCGCCCUUUGGUAUUCCAAAGGGCAUGCCUGUUCGAGCGUCAUUUGUACCCUCAAGCUUUGCUUGGUGUUGGGCGUCUUGUCUCUAGCUUUACUGGAGACUCGCCUUAAAGUAAUUGGCAGCCGGCCUACUGGUUUCGGAGCGCAGCACAAGUCGCACUCUCUAUCAGCAAAGGUCUAGCAUCCAUUAAGCCUUUUUUUCAACUUUUGACCUCGGAUCAGGUAGGGAUACCCGCUGAACUUAAGCAUAUCAAUAAGCGGAGGA